GUGACCUCAAAUCAGGUAGGACUACCCGCUGAACUUAAGCAUAUCAAUAAGCGGAGGAAAAGAAACUAACAAGGAUUCCCCUAGUAACUGCGAGUGAAGCGGGAAAAGCUCAAAUUUAAAAUCUGGCAGUCUUUGGCUGUCCGAGUUGUAAUCUAGAGAAGUGUUAUCCGCGCUGGACCGUGUACAAGUCUCCUGGAAUGGAGCGUCAUAGAGGGUGAGAAUCCCGUCUUUGACACGGACUACCAGGGCUUUGUGAUGCGCUCUCAAAGAGUCGAGUUGUUUGGGAAUGCAGCUCAAAAUGGGUGGUAAAUUCCAUCUAAAGCUAAAUAUUGGCGAGAGACCGAUAGCGAACAAGUACCGUGAGGGAAAGAUGAAAAGAACUUUGGAAAGAGAGUUAAACAGUACGUGAAAUUGCUGAAAGGGAAACGCUUGAAGUCAGUCGCGUUGUCCAGGGAUCAACCUUGCUUUUGCUUGGUGCACUUUCUGGUUGACGGGUCAGCAUCAAUUUUGACCAUUGGAAAAAGAUUAAGGGAAUGUGACAUCCUUGGAUGUGUUAUAGCCCUUGGUUGCAUACGAUGGUUGGGAUUGAGGAACUCAGCACGCCGCAAGGCCGGGUUU
This 618-nucleotide ribosomal RNA is filed under the name Cortinarius smithii. Its description in RNAcentral is "eukaryotic LSU rRNA". It matches the Rfam family "Eukaryotic large subunit ribosomal RNA", at positions 1 to 618 of the family's 3401-position model. The record is from RNAcentral. Lineage: Eukaryota; Fungi; Basidiomycota; Agaricomycetes; Agaricales; Cortinariaceae.